GACGAACGCUGGCGGCGUGCUUAACACAUGCAAGUCGAACGGAAAGGCCCAGCUUGCUGGGUGCUCGAGUGGCGAACGGGUGAGUAACACGUGGGUGAUCUGCCUCUAACUUCGGGAUAAGCUUGGGAAACUGGGUCUAAUACCGGAUAGGACAAUCGUUUAGUGUCGGUUGUGGAAAGUUUUUUCGGUUAGGGAUGAGCCCGCGGCCUAUCAGCUUGUUGGUGGGGUAAUGGCCUACCAAGGCGUCGACGGGUAGCCGGCCUGAGAGGGUGGACGGCCACAUUGGGACUGAGAUACGGCCCAGACUCCUACGGGAGGCAGCAGUGGGGAAUAUUGCACAAUGGGCGCAAGCCUGAUGCAGCGACGCCGCGUGGGGGAUGACGGCCUUCGGGUUGUAAACUCCUUUCGUCAGGGACGAAGCGAAAGUGACGGUACCUGGAUAAGAAGCACCGGCUAACUACGUG
This 464-nucleotide ribosomal RNA is filed under the name uncultured bacterium. RNAcentral describes it as "partial 16S ribosomal RNA". It matches the Rfam family "Bacterial small subunit ribosomal RNA", at positions 28 to 507 of the family's 1533-position model. The record is from RNAcentral.